Molecule: ribosomal RNA, 724 nt
Filed under: uncultured Glaciecola sp.
Lineage: Bacteria; Pseudomonadati; Pseudomonadota; Gammaproteobacteria; Alteromonadales; Alteromonadaceae
Description: bacterial SSU rRNA
Rfam family: Bacterial small subunit ribosomal RNA
Source: RNAcentral
GGGGGAACCCUGAUGCAGCCAUGCCGCGUGUGUGAAGAAGGCCUUCGGGUUGUAAAGCACUUUCAGUUGUGAGGAAAGGUUAACGGUUAAUACCCGUUAGCUGUGACGUUAGCAACAGAAGAAGGACCGGCUAACUCCGUGCCAGCAGCCGCGGUAAUACGGAGGGUCCGAGCGUUAAUCGGAAUUACUGGGCGUAAAGCGCACGCAGGCGGUUUGUUAAGCUAGAUGUGAAAGCCCUGGGCUCAACCUGGGAAUUGCAUUUARAACUGGCAGGCUAGAGUUUUGGAGAGGGGAGUGGAAUUCCAGGUGUAGCGGUGAAAUGCGUAGAUAUCUGGAGGAACAUCAGUGGCGAAGGCGACUCCCUGGUCAGUAACUGACGCUCAUGUGCGAAAGUGUGGGUAGCGAACAGGAUUAGAUACCCUGGUAGUCCACACCGUAAACGCUGCCUACUAGCUGUUUGUGGAUUUAAUCCGUGAGUAGCGAAGCUAACGCGAUAAGUAGACCGCCUGGGGAGUACGGCCGCAAGGUUAAAACUCAAAUGAAUUGACGGGGGCCCGCACAAGCGGUGGAGCAUGUGGUUUAAUUCGAUGCAACGCGAAGAACCUUACCUACUCUUGACAUACUGAGAACUUAGCAGAGAUGCUUUGGUGCCUUCGGGAACUCANAUACAGGUGCUGCAUGGCUGUCGUCAGCUCGUGUCGUGAGAUGUUGGGUUAAGUCCCGC